Sodalis praecaptivus is the source of this 102-nucleotide regulatory RNA element. It matches the Rfam family "Gammaprotebacteria rimP leader". NCBI's taxonomy places the organism in Bacteria, Pseudomonadati, Pseudomonadota, Gammaproteobacteria, Enterobacterales, Bruguierivoracaceae. The record is from Rfam.
AAACCGCCUGCGGUUUACAGGGUCCAGUCACUUAACGCCCCGAAUUUUCGGGGUUUUUUGUUAUUUCACUACAGUAAUACUGGGCUAAUAAGCCCUUUUUUU